UGAAGGACCAUGCUGUCCAGUAUAACAGCUAGGUUUACAAACACAGUGUGUUUCUCCCCAUCACCCAGGCUUCAGCCAUCAGAUUGUAGUUCUAUUGAAGGACCAUGCUGUCCAGUAUAACAGCCGUGUCUCAUACUAGGUUUACAAACACAGUGUGUUUCUCCCCAUCACCCAGGCUUCAGCCAUCAGAUUGUAGUUCUAUUGAAGGACCAUGCUGUCCAGUAUAACAGCCGUGUCUCAUACUAGGUUUACAAACACAGUGUGUUUCUCCCCAUCACCCAGGCUUCAGCCAUCAGAUUGUAGUUCUAUUGAAGGACCAUGCUGUCCAGUAUAACAGCUAGGUUUACAAACACAGUGUGUUUCUCCCCAUCACCCAGGCUUCAGCCAUCAGAUUGUAGUUCUAUUGAAGGACCAUGCUGUCCAGUAUAACAGCUAGGUUUACAAACACAGUGUGUUUCUCCCCAUCACCCAGGCUUCAGCCAUCAGAUUGUAGUUCUAUUGAAGGACCAUGCUGUCCAGUAUAACAGCUAGGUUUACAAACACAGUGUGUUUCUCCUCGUCACCCAGGCUUCAGCCAUCAGAUUGUAGUUCUAUUGAAGGACCAUGCUGUCCAGUAUAACAGCUAGGUUUACAAACACAGUGUGUUUCUCCCCAUCACCCAGGCUUCAGCCAUCAGAUUGUAGUUCUAUUGAAGGACCAUGCUGUCCAGUAUAACAGCCGUGUCUCAUACUAGGUUUACAAACACAGUGUGUUUCUCCCCAUCACCCAGGCUUCAGCCAUCAGAUUGUAGUUCUAUUGAAGGACCAUGCUGUCCAGUAUAACAGCUAGGUUUACAAACACAGUGUGUUUCUCCCCAUCACCCAGGCUUCAGCCGUCAGAUUGUAGUUCUAUUGAAGGACCAUGCUGUCCCAG
This is a long non-coding RNA of Oncorhynchus keta (chum salmon), 912 nucleotides long. RefSeq lists it as uncharacterized. The record is from RefSeq and is a predicted model, not a curated record. The transcript has 3 exons. Lineage: Eukaryota; Metazoa; Chordata; Actinopteri; Salmoniformes; Salmonidae.